Long non-coding RNA from Cottoperca gobio, 2348 nucleotides. The record is from Ensembl. Lineage: Eukaryota; Metazoa; Chordata; Actinopteri; Perciformes; Bovichtidae.
CGAUAAAAAAGCCUUCAGCGCCUUCUCUUCGAACCCAAACCUGUUACCUGGAGUUUGACACGAUGGAUUUUGGUGUGAUGUUGUGAUGCCGUGUGUCUCACGUGAUCGAGCUGCCAUGCAAAGGUCAUUGUUGUGCAGCAGUUGCAGAACAGAGUGGGGAAAUAUAAGGUACAAAUCCAAAGUGCACAACAUGGCUAAAAAUAUAAACAGGUGAAGUGGCAAAUAACUAACAAAUCCAAUCAUCAUUGGACAGAACAUGUGUCUUAUUUAUAGGAUUCAUUAUUAUUAGAGUCAUUUAGCCAAAACAAUCAUAAUAAACAGCUAAUGUUUCCUCUGUUUAUAUCAUUAGAAACUGAAUAUCUAAUUUAAGAGCCCUGGCUUCUGGUGCUCUAAGCAUCAAAAACAACGUUUUUAAAAACUCGACAGCAAAGUCCUCCUUCACCAGCGACAUCCCAUAAUUACCUCACUGAGGACGUCUCAUUAAAACGAGCUGAGGAAACAAGUCUUCACCUGAGCUGUGUGGAUCGUCCAGAGCAACAGAGGCGUUCACGCAAAAAACUAAAAAUGAUGAGUUUUCAAAAGCUUUCAGACGGAGGACGCAAAACAUAAUAAUUAAAUAUCUGCAAGGCAUCAGCACCCCAUUAUUAUCUGCUGCCCUGUGUCUUCAUCUUCUUCAUGUCUUCAUCUUCUUUAUGUCUUCAUGUGUCUUCAUGUCUUCAUGUUUUCAUCUUCUUUAUGUCUUCAUGUCUUCAUGUCUUCAUGUCUUUAUAUCUUCAUGUCUUCAUGUUUUCAUGUGUCUUCAUGUGUCUUAAUGUGUCUUUAUGUCUUAAUGUGUCUUCAUGUCUUCAUGUGUCUUCAUGUCUUCAUCUUCUUCAUGUCUUCAUGUGUCUUCAUGUCUUCAUCUUCUUCAUGUCUUCAUGUGUCUUCAUGUCUUCAUCUUCUUCAUGUCUUCAUGUGUCUUCAUGUCUUCAUGUUUUCAUCUUCUUUAUGUCUUCAUGUGUCUUCAUGUCUUCAUGUCUUCAUGUCUUUAUAUCUUCAUGUCUUCAUGUUUUCAUGUGUCUUUAUGUCUUAAUGUGUCUUCAUGUCUUCAUGUGUCUUCAUGUCUUCAUCUUCUUCAUGUCUUCAUGUGUCUUCAUGUCUUCAUCUUCUUCAUGUCUUCAUGUGUCUUCAUGUCUUCAUCUUCUUCAUGUCUUCAUGUGUCUUCGUCUUCGUCAUGUCUUCAUCUUCUUCAUGUCUUCAUGUGUCUUCAUGUCUUCAUGUCUUUGUCUUCGUCAUGUCUUCAUCUUCUUCAUGUCUUUGUCUUCUUCAUGUCUUCAUCUUCUUCAUCUUCUUCAUGUCUUCUUCUUCAUGUUGUCAUGUCUUCAUGUCUUCAUCUUCUUCAUGUUGUCAUGUCUUCAUGUCUUCAUCUUCUUCAUGUCGUCAUGUCUUCAUGUCUUCAUCUUCUUCAUGUCUUCAUCUUCUUCAUGUCGUCAUGUCUUCAUCUUCUUCAUGUCUUCAUCUUCUUCAUCUUCUUCAUGUCUUCAUCUUCUUCAUCUUCUUCAUGUCGUCAUGUCUUCAUCUUCUUCAUGUCGUCAUGUCUUCAUGUCUUCAUCUUCUUCAUGUCUUCAACUUCUUCAUGUCUUCAUCUUCUUCAUGUCUUCAACUUCUUCAUGUCUUCAUCUUCUUCAUGUCUUCAUGUCUUCAUCUUCUUCAUGUCUUCAACUUCUUCAUGUCUUCAUCUUCUUCAUGUCUUCAUGUCUUCAUCUUCUUCAUGUCUUCAACUUCUUCAUGUCUUCAUCUUCUUCAUGUCGUCAUGUCUUCAUGUCUUCAUCUUCUUCAUGUCUUCAACUUCUUCAUGUCUUCAUCUUCUUCAUGUCGUCAUGUCUUCAUCUUCUUCAUGUCGUCAUGUCUUCAUGUCUUCAUCUUCUUCAUGUCGUCAUGUCUUCAUCUUCUUCAUGUCGUCAUGUCUUCAUGUCUUCAUCUUCUUCAUGUCGUCAUGUCUUCAUGUCUUCAUCUUCUUCAUGUCGUCAUGUCUUCAUCUUCUUCAUGUCGUCAUGUCUUCAUCUUCUUCAUGUCGUCAUGUCUUCAUCUUCUUCAUGUCGUCAUGUCUUCAUCUUCUUCAUGUCGUCAUGUCUUCAUGUCUUCAUCUUCUUCAUGUCGUCAUGUCUUCAUCUUCUUCAUGUCGUCAUGUCUUCAUCUUCUUCAUGUCGUCAUGUCUUCAUGUCUUCAUCUUCUUCAUGUCUUCAUCUUCUUCAUGUCGUCAUGUCUUCAUCUUUGCCUCUGAGUUUGUGCAUAAUAUUCACGUUUUCUCUAAAAGUUUGUUACAAUUCCUUUGAAGCUUUGAAUGAACAUAAAAACAUCUGAACUGA